AUCCCAAAUAAACUUCUCUCUGUCUAUUUGAUUCAUGGGAGGCAUAUAUUGAUACUGGGAGUUCGCUGACAGCUCCUUUCUUUUCUUAAGGGGGUGUUUCAAUAAUACCUCUCCGUACACAU
This 122-nucleotide small nucleolar RNA is filed under the name Capsicum annuum. The record is from RNAcentral. Lineage: Eukaryota; Viridiplantae; Streptophyta; Magnoliopsida; Solanales; Solanaceae.